GCACGAGCGCAACCCUAUUGCCAGUUGCUACCAGGUAAUGCUGGCACUCUGGUGAGACUGCCCCGGUUAACGGGGAGGAAGGUGGGGACGACGUCAAGUCAUCAUGGCCCUUACGCCUAGGGCUACACACGUACUACAAUGGCGCAUACAAAGGGCAGCGAUACCGCGAGGUGGAGCCAAUCCCAAAAAGUAGCGUCCCAGUCCGGAUUGCAGUCUGCAACUCGACUGCAUGAAGUUGGAAUCGCUAGUAAUUCGAGAUCAGCAUGCUCGGGUGAAUGCGUUCCCGGGCCUU
RNAcentral lists this ribosomal RNA (292 nucleotides) under uncultured Desulfovibrio sp. Its description in RNAcentral is "partial 16S ribosomal RNA". It matches the Rfam family "Bacterial small subunit ribosomal RNA", at positions 1090 to 1382 of the family's 1533-position model. The record is from RNAcentral. Lineage: Bacteria; Pseudomonadati; Thermodesulfobacteriota; Desulfovibrionia; Desulfovibrionales; Desulfovibrionaceae.